AAUUCUAAUAUGACGUGCUUCUUUCGCUUUGUAAACAACACUGUGUGAAAAUUCUCGAUAUAUCUAUACUCAGCGCAGACUCAGAGAUAUACAUAAUAAUGGAUGUUACAAUAUAUCUCCCACGUAAAUCCACAUGUAUUUGAACCUACUUUGCAAACGUUUUGCCAAUUUUAUUGUAUUAGAAAUUGUAAUAAAACAAAAGACAAAAGAACUUUUAUUCUUAUUCGAAUGCAUAAUAAAAAGAAUUAAUGUAUUGCAACUAGUUUUGUUUAUUUCCUAAAUAUAGUAACACAGCUAUAUUUUGUGCAAUGUCAAUUUCAUCAUGGAACACUUUCUCUACAAUCAGGGGUUCAUUAAG
Molecule: long non-coding RNA, 358 nt
Filed under: Mytilus galloprovincialis (Mediterranean mussel)
Lineage: Eukaryota; Metazoa; Mollusca; Bivalvia; Mytilida; Mytilidae
Source: RNAcentral